Molecule: ribosomal RNA, 244 nt
Filed under: Paracoccus sp. IAJ16
Lineage: Bacteria; Pseudomonadati; Pseudomonadota; Alphaproteobacteria; Rhodobacterales; Paracoccaceae
Description: partial 16S ribosomal RNA
Rfam family: Bacterial small subunit ribosomal RNA
Source: RNAcentral
UAUACGCCCUUUGGGGGAAAGAUUUAUCGGGGAAGGAUUAGCCCGCGUUGGAUUAGGUAGUUGGCGGGGUAAUGGCCUACCAAGCCGACGAUCCAUAGCUGGUUUGAGAGGAUGAUCAGCCACACUGGGACUGAGACACGGCCCAGACUCCUACGGGAGGCAGCAGUGGGGAAUCUUAGACAAUGGGGGCAACCCUGAUCUAGCCAUGCCGCGUGAGUGAUGAAGGCCUUAGGGUUGUAAAGCU